ACCAGCAAGUGAAGUGAGGGUGACAUGCACGUGAAGGAGAGUAGUCACUGAACUGUGCCUACUGCUUGUCCCAACUUGAUACACCCAUGAUCGUCGUUGUAACCCUGGCGAUAUUCAGAGCACAAUAUCGUGGUUUGGAGCUUGAAAUCUACCACUAGUGAGUCGCGUGAACAGCUCUACAGCAGGGGAGAUCAUUUGUGUUUUUCCACAUGCUUUGUAUGCACCCAACACACCGGGACGUAUCGAGUAAGUGUGUCUGCAUCUUAAAACAUUGGGUUGUAAUGAUUAUUUGUUCUGCACUUUAAGUUUAAUGAAGUAUUGUGGCUUGGAAAUAAUGUAUUUUUAUUUCUGUUUCUCUAUUAAGCAAGCCACUGCUGUUGUCUAUUAUGGUGUAAUUGUCUUUAAUCUGUUAGAUACUCUGAUCUCUUAGAUCCCUUUUCGAACUCUUUUAAAAUUCAGUUAACAUCUCAGUCUUUCCUCUUAAUGCUGUACAAUUUUUCACUGUCCAGUCGGGAAUAAAGCCCACAUAAAAAUUAUUUUGUGUUCAGUUCAGUCUUUCCAAAGACCCGGCUACACAA
Hippocampus comes (tiger tail seahorse) is the source of this 578-nucleotide long non-coding RNA. RefSeq lists it as uncharacterized. NCBI's taxonomy places the organism in Eukaryota, Metazoa, Chordata, Actinopteri, Syngnathiformes, Syngnathidae. The record is from RefSeq and is a predicted model, not a curated record. The transcript has 3 exons.